GCCGGUGCUGCAAUGAAGACUUUGGACAGCGUAGGCCUUCAGUGUGAGUUGAGUCCGUUGACACUGUAGAAUGCACUUUGGGUUUAUUGGAUUGUAUGGCUAGAAAAAGAACAAGAACAUUACUACAACCUGGGAUUCUUGGCAACUUAAAGGCUUUAAAUUAAAACGAAGAACUGCGGGUGCUGAAGAACUGCGGGUGCUGAAGAUCUGAAACAAAAACAGAUUUAUCAAGGCUGUCUGAUGUUGUUUCAAGCUCUCUCAUCUCCUUCAUGUUGUCAAAGGCCUGCCAUCACUGGAAAGUAAAAAUAUUUUUAUGUCAAACAUCCUAUAAUAUUAAUGGACAAUAAGGAUGACGGCAUUGCUGGCUUUAUUGCCCAUCCCUAAUUGCCCAGAGGGGUCUGGAGUCACAUGUAGGCCAGACCAGGCUUACCAAUUGCCCCAGUGAAGCUCAAAAGAAAUCUGGAGGAACAAUACCUAAUUUUCUGCCGAGUACCCCUGUAGCUGCCAGUCAACCAUAUUGUCAAGUAUCACGCAACUCAGGCUGAGACAGUGCAGUCUGAAGCCACAUCUGCAGAUCCUUGAAACCUUCCACCGUCUGCAGUCUCUUCAACCUACCACCAAGCUGCACUGUGGAUGUACCUUGUAGGACCAUGAGGAAAGCAGUAAUGCAGUAAAUAUAUAAGGGUAAUUAUGUAUGUUUUCAUUUCUUAGUAACAGAAUUGAUAACUUUGGAUUUGAAUUUGUAUUUGGUGGCAUUUUAUUAUGUAUUGAAAAGAGGGAGAAAACAUUAAAUGUUAUCCGAAUGAGAACUAUGGGAUGGCCACUGAGAAGGACAAGAUAUGGAGGAAGGGCCUAGUUAUGAGUGGGGGUGGCGGUAUGUUUGAAACUACAGGAAUCACUUGUUGAAUAAUCUGGUUAUGUAUGGUCUGGGUAAAAACCAAUGUAUGCAUUAAUAUCCCUUCCUCUUGCUCUGCAUUUCAGCCUCCUCAACUUAACCCUCCUCCUUCUACUCAUAUUCUUGUCUCCUUUUGGGGUAGGAAGUGUAACCGAAUCUGCCCUCUUUCACAGUAUUCCUCCUGCCUCCUGUUUUGUGUCAUCAUGACCCCAUGUAUACUUACAUUUGUUAUCCAACUUAAACCCCUUGGAAUUAGUCUACGGUGAGGCAAGAAUACUUAACUCUUUGUAAUAGUACUACAUGAGGAUCUGGUCCUCGACCCUGUGCGCAUGUUCUUACAUGGACCUACAAGAUUAAGGAUGGACCUUCUGUUAAAAUCAAGAUAUUUUCUGGUUAAAAAGAAAAUCAAUAUUUUAUUGCAAAUUGGAAAAGAAAGAAUUGUUAUGGCAAUAUGAAAUUAUUGAUUAUAUUGCUUGCACACUUUCAUGUAAUAGCUGAACCCCCAUCUUCAUUGUAAUUGGACUGUGUUAAUCAAUAGGUUAAACUAUAACA
Stegostoma tigrinum is the source of this 1447-nucleotide long non-coding RNA. RefSeq lists it as uncharacterized. The transcript is spliced from 7 exons. The record is from RefSeq and is a predicted model, not a curated record. Lineage: Eukaryota; Metazoa; Chordata; Chondrichthyes; Orectolobiformes; Stegostomatidae.